AGGAGCACGGAUCUACCAUUAAUUUCAGCUAAAAGUCCAUGAAUAAUGAGAAUCGAAUGAAAACAUUUUUGACAUUUCAAACUUUAAUUCAAGAUAUCUCAUGCAAUUCUUCACCAUUUUUCAUGAAAUUUAUAUCAGCGUAAUCAGCAUGAAAAACUCUACACAAUUAUGGUAAUAGUAUGGAGAAUUAAGAGUUUCGAAUUCAAACCUUCUUGAAGAGAAGUCAAUGGAAACAGUGGAUUCGAGCUCUCGCAAGUGUCAA
This 262-nucleotide long non-coding RNA is filed under the name Lathyrus oleraceus (garden pea). RNAcentral's name for it is "Pisum sativum (pea) long non-coding RNA (PSAT_LNC024201)". The record is from RNAcentral. Lineage: Eukaryota; Viridiplantae; Streptophyta; Magnoliopsida; Fabales; Fabaceae.